CCUACGGGAGGCUGCAGUAGGGAAUAUUGGACAAUGGGUGGAAGCCUGAUCCAGCCAUGCCGCGUGCAGGAAGAAGGCCUUAUGGGUUGUAAACUGCUUUUGCCAGGGGAUAAAAUAUCCGUGCGCGGAGAAUUGAAGGUACCUGGUGAAUAAGCCACGGCUAACUACGUGCCAGCAGCCGCGGUAAUACGUAGGUGGCAAGCGUUGUCCGGAUUUAUUGGGUUUAAAGGGUGCGUAGGCGGCAUUUUAAGUCAGUGGUGAAAUACGGCAGCUCA
Molecule: ribosomal RNA, 275 nt
Filed under: uncultured Ohtaekwangia sp.
Lineage: Bacteria; Pseudomonadati; Bacteroidota; Cytophagia; Cytophagales; Fulvivirgaceae
Description: partial 16S ribosomal RNA
Rfam family: Bacterial small subunit ribosomal RNA
Source: RNAcentral